Molecule: long non-coding RNA, 225 nt
Filed under: Homo sapiens (human)
Lineage: Eukaryota; Metazoa; Chordata; Mammalia; Primates; Hominidae
Description: non-protein coding PSMA3-AS1:8
Source: RNAcentral
CUUGUCGGCGCCAUUUUGUCUCGGCAGCGGUGGCCGUAGCUCCAUCGCAUUUUAUGUUUCUGGCGAGAAGGGAACGGAGUUUUCAUCAGGUAGAUUGGUUUUUGUGCGGCCGUCCUCCACCGUUUCCUCCAGGACAGCACCUAGUCGUGGCCGGAGGAGUCUCAGAGCUGUCAGAAAGGUGAGCAUUUGUACAGUGAAACAUUUUGCUACACAAAAGUGAUGUUU